RNAcentral lists this long non-coding RNA (287 nucleotides) under Marmota monax (woodchuck). Lineage: Eukaryota; Metazoa; Chordata; Mammalia; Rodentia; Sciuridae. The record is from RNAcentral.
GAUUUGCACCGAGACACACCAUUGGUUUUUCUUAUUCUCCAGACUGCAGAUCACCUAGCAUGGGACUUUUCAGUCUCCUCAACCAUGUGAGCCAAUCCUAUAACACAUUCCUUGUCAUCUAUUUAUCAUGUAUCUCUAUCAGUUUGAUCCUCUAUUCCUCUCUCUCUGAAGACCCCUGACUAUUAUAGAAAAUCAAUUUCCUGAUAUUUCCUUAUCAAUUAGUUAAAAGUUGUCUGAGCUUAGGUUUCUAGAUUUUAAAUAGUUUCUCUUAGAAUCCUCAAGGUAGC